RNAcentral lists this ribosomal RNA (616 nucleotides) under uncultured bacterium. Its description in RNAcentral is "bacterial SSU rRNA". The stretch from base 1 to 525 matches the Rfam family "Bacterial small subunit ribosomal RNA", at positions 338 to 873 of the family's 1533-position model. The record is from RNAcentral.
CCUACGGGAGGCAGCAGUGGGGAAUAUUGCACAAUGGGCGAAAGCCUGAUGCAGCGACGCCGCGUGAGGGAUGACGGCCUUCGGGUUGUAAACCUCUUUCAGCAGGGAAGAAGCGAAAGUGACGGUACCUGCAGAAGAAGCGCCGGCUAACUACGUGCCAGCAGCUGCGGUAAUACGUAGGGCGCAAGCGUUGUCCGGAAUUAUUGGGCGUAAAGAGCUCGUAGGCGGCUUGUCACGUCGGAUGUGAAAGCCCGAGGCUUAACCUCGGGUCUGCAUUCGAUACGGGCUAGCUAGAGUGUGGUAGGGGAGAUCGGAAUUCCUGGUGUAGCGGUGAAAUGCGCAGAUAUCAGGAGGAACACCGGUGGCGAAGGCGGAUCUCUGGGCCAUUACUGACGCUGAGGAGCGAAAGCGUGGGGAGCGAACAGGAUUAGAUACCCUGGUAGUCCACGCCGUAAACGUUGGGAACUAGGUGUUGGCGACAUUCCACGUCGUCGGUGCCGCAGCUACGCAUUAACGUUACCCGUCCGUCGGGAGGUACGGCCGCGACGACGUAAACGUACGAAACGGAAGUUAGACGGCGUGAGACGUGCCGACGGACGACGACGAGGGAGGUAGG